Molecule: long non-coding RNA, 852 nt
Organism: Patiria miniata (bat star)
Lineage: Eukaryota; Metazoa; Echinodermata; Asteroidea; Valvatida; Asterinidae
Exons: 3
Source: RefSeq, a predicted model, not a curated record
AAGUCGACACGAUUGAUGCUCUACUGAUGGUGUUCUCCGUGGUGGAGUUCAUUGUCUCAAUCCUUGGUGUCAUCAGUACCUGCAGACUUGUCUUCAACGCUGCACACGUGCCAUACACUGAGAUCGAACAACCACUAACAGUAGUUACGGCUCAGCCCCGGGGUUCGGCGUUCGACAACAUUCCUGCUGGCCAGCCACGAUUCGUUGAUGAUGCUUCCCAUCCACUCGUGAUUUCAAAAUUCUGAACGCCUACUAUUUUGGAUAUUUAGAAUGUUUCUGAUCGCUCAAGAUAACAAAGAAGUUGAAUGGCUUACCGGAUCAUUUCUUCUAUAGCCAGUGUUCUAUGUAAACGUCCAAGUGGUUAUUAUAAUACGUGGCAUUGUUUCUUUGGAACUGAUGAAUAUAAUAUCAUUAAUAACUUAUUAAACGUAUAAAGAUGUUUCAUUGAACAAGGUGACCAUCUAGAUUGGACAGCGCCCUCAAAAGUUUGGACAGCUUACAUUGAUGUGUCACACAAUAAUCUGCGAAUAUUUAUGUUAUUGGCUUUUGGGGCCAUCGCAGAAAAAAUCUACUGUUCUUUGUUUUCUACCUUUGUAUUGUAAUGUGCAGAAAUUGAUUUAAAUUGAAUCUUUUUUUUAAUAAUUCAAAAAAAAAAUCGUCAAUGUAGGCUUACAAAUUGCAAGAUUUUCUUAUAUAAACGAGAUUCGUUUAGGCCUAUAUCUGACGAAGAAUGAUCUCAAGUGACAAAAUUUCAUCUCAAUAUUUGGGGAUUUAUUUUAUUAAGCGGACACAUAACAAAUCGUGUACAAAACAAAGAAUUGCAGUUUCUAAAAGGUUGUUAUACAGGGUGAG